Molecule: ribosomal RNA, 439 nt
Filed under: uncultured bacterium
Lineage: Bacteria
Description: partial 16S ribosomal RNA
Rfam family: Bacterial small subunit ribosomal RNA
Source: RNAcentral
CCUACGGGUGGCAGCAGUGGGGAAUAUUGCACAAUGGGCGAAAGCCUGAUGCAGCAACGCCGCGUGAGCGAUGAAGGCCUUCGGGUCGUAAAGCACUGUCCUCAAGGAAGAUAAUGACGGUACUUCAGGAGGAAGCCCCGGCUAACUCCGUGCAAGCAGCCGCGGUAAUACGUAGGGUGCUAGCGUUAUCCGGAAUUACUGGGCGUAAGGGGUGCGUAGGUGGUUUCUUAAGUCAGAGGUGAUAGGAUACGGCUCAACCGUAGUAAGCCUUUGAAACUGGGAAACUUGAGUGCAGGAGAGGGGAGUGGAAUUCCUGGUGUAGCGGUGAAAGGCGUAGAUAUUAGGAGGAACACCAGUGGCGAAGGCGGCUCUCUGGACUGUAACUGACACUGAGGCACGAAAGCGUGGGGAGCAAACAGGAUUAGAUACCCCGGUAGUC